GAUGAACGCUGGCGGCGUGCUUAACACAUGCAAGUCGAACGGAAAGGCCCGGCUUUUGUGGGGUGGACGAGUGGCGAACGGGUGAGUAACACGUGAGUAACCUGCCCCUGACUUCGGGAUAACUCCUGGAAACUGCGGCUAAUACCGGAUAGGAGCUCCUGCUGCAUGUUGGGCAUUGGUAAAGGACGGCGGUUGGGGAUGGACUCGCGGCUUAUCAGCUUGUUGGUGUGGUAGUGGCUGACCAAGGCUUCGACGGGUAGCCGGCCUGAGAGGGUGACCGGCCACAAUGGGACUGAGAGACGGCCCAGACUCCUACGGGAGGCAGCAGUGGGGAAUAUUGCACAAUGGGCGGAAGCCUGAUGCAGCAACGCCGCGUGCGGGAAGACGGCCUUCGGGUUGUAAACCGCUUUUGACUGAGACGAAGCGGGAGUGACGGUACCUGAUGAAAAAGCGCCGGCUAACUACGUG
RNAcentral lists this ribosomal RNA (468 nucleotides) under uncultured bacterium. Its description in RNAcentral is "partial 16S ribosomal RNA". It matches the Rfam family "Bacterial small subunit ribosomal RNA", at positions 28 to 507 of the family's 1533-position model. The record is from RNAcentral.